GACGAACGCUGGCGGCGUGCUUAACACAUGCAAGUCGAACGGAAAGGCCCUGCUUGCAGGGUACUCGCGUGGCGAACAGGUGAGUAACACGUGUGUGAUCUGCCCUGCACUUCGGGAUAAGCCUGGGAAACUGGGUCUAAUACCGGAUAGGAGCCAUUUUUCGUGUGAUGGUUGGAAAGUUUUUUCGGUGUAGGAUGAGCUCGCGGCCUAUCAGCUUGUUGGUGGGGUAAUGGCCUACCAAGGCGGCGACGGGUAGCCGGCCCGAGAGGGUGGACGGCCACAAUGGGACUGGGAUACGGCCCAGACUCCUACGGGAGGCAGCAGUGGGGAAUAUUGCACAAUGGGCGCAAGCCUGAUGCAGCGACGCCGCGUGGGGGAUGACGGCCUUCGGGUUGUAAACCCCUUUCGCUAGGGACGAAGCUUUUUGUGACGGUACCUAGAUAAGAAGCACCGGCUAACUACGUG
Molecule: ribosomal RNA, 465 nt
Filed under: uncultured bacterium
Lineage: Bacteria
Description: partial 16S ribosomal RNA
Rfam family: Bacterial small subunit ribosomal RNA
Source: RNAcentral